RNAcentral lists this ribosomal RNA (253 nucleotides) under uncultured bacterium. RNAcentral's name for it is "partial 16S ribosomal RNA". It matches the Rfam family "Bacterial small subunit ribosomal RNA", at positions 524 to 776 of the family's 1533-position model. The record is from RNAcentral.
UACGGAGGGUGCAAGCGUUAUCCGGAUUUACUGGGUUUAAAGGGUGCGUAGGUGGGUUGGUAAGUCAGUGGUGAAAUACUUUCGCUUAACGAAGGAACUGCCAUUGAUACUAUCAAUCUUGUAUACAGUGGAGGCAGGCGGAAUGCGUCAUGUAGCGGUGAAAUGCUUAGAUAUGACGCAGAACACCAAUUGCGAAGGCAGCUUGCUACACUGUUAUUGACACUGAGGCACGAAAGCGUGGGGAUCAAACAGG